GUCUCUGUAGCGCAACGGAUAGCACGUUGGACUUCUAAUCCAAAUGACGUUGGUUCGAAACCACCUGGGAUG
This is a non-coding RNA of Trichonephila clavata, 72 nucleotides long. The record is from the annotation of a GenBank genome assembly. NCBI's taxonomy places the organism in Eukaryota, Metazoa, Arthropoda, Arachnida, Araneae, Nephilidae.